Long non-coding RNA from Anneissia japonica, 880 nucleotides. RefSeq lists it as uncharacterized. The record is from RefSeq and is a predicted model, not a curated record. The transcript is spliced from 2 exons. Lineage: Eukaryota; Metazoa; Echinodermata; Crinoidea; Comatulida; Comatulidae.
AUCAAAAAGUGUUGCCAUUUUGGUCAUUGCCGUUUCGACUUACUUAUUGCCAUUUUGUCCAGAAACCGGUUGAGAUCAAACCAGUCGUUGGAUUUUAUAUGGCAGCCAAUUCCAGCAGUCCAUAACAAGCUUGUUUUUGCUGUACCUACACUGUACAUUUUCAUCCUGAAUUAAUUUUGUAAUCACAUUUUAAAUCAGUAAGCUUCUGUGUUAACAUUUUUCACAGGUGCCUUUUUAUCAGGCAUUUAAACAAAGAGACAUGUACAAAUAGGCUAGAAUAGCAGUUUUUGGACCAGUUCUCUAAAUUUCAUCUGAUAUUGAGUGCACAAAGUUACCGAUACAAGUUUUAUACAUAUUUUACUGUAUGUACAAUAUAAACAAUAAACUAUCCUAUUGUGGGAGGCACAUUUAUAAACCAAAAAAUGGUAAAAUAUUUUGAUAAUAUUAUUAUACAGUGAAAGCAUUUCAUUUAUAUCAUGUUUUUGCACAGUACAUAAAUCAGAUAGUUUUUUUGCAGAACGUAGUAUCUGAUCAGUACAAGUAAAAAAGUAAUCAAUAAAAGUAAACAAUCAGUAAGUCUUAAUAUCUAAUACCUUAGUGUCCAAAUGAAAAGUCAAUAAAUAAUAAGCUUGACUUUUGUUUACUGGUCUAGGCAUCAAUACAAAUUUGUUUAGAUUGAAAAAUGAUACAUUGUCUUUAAAAAGUAGUCGAAAGUUUUAUAUGUUCCCAAUAUUGUUUUUUGAUUGAAGUGCAAUGUUAAUGCCCAAUAUUAUUAUUUUUUAAAUAUUGGAAUUUGACACAAAUGCCACAAUAACAAAACCUGUUUUACAAUUUAAUUUAGCAGAACUCAGAACAUUUUCUUACACAUUUAUUAGGCUGC